GUGAACCUUUACUAUAGCUUGACACUGAACAUUGAGCCUUGAUGUGUAGGAUAGGUGGGAGGCUUUGAAGUGUGGACGCCAGUCUGCAUGGAGCCGACCUUGAAAUACCACCCUUUAAUGUUUGAUGUUCUAACGUUGACCCGUAAUCCGGGUUGCGGACAGUGUCUGGUGGGUAGUUUGACUGGGGCGGUCUCCUCCUAAAGAGUAACGGAGGAGCACGAAGGUUGGCUAAUCCUGGUCGGACAUCAGGAGGUUAGUGCAAUGGCAUAAGCCAGCUUGACUGCGAGCGUGACGGCGCGAGCAGGUGCGAAAGCAGGUCAUAGUGAUCCGGUGGUUCUGAAUGGAAGGGCCAUCGCUCAACGGAUAAAAGGUACUCCGGGGAUAACAGGCUGAUACCGCCCAAGAGUUCAUAUCGACGGCGGUGUUUGGCACCUCGAUGUCGGCUCAUCACAUCCUGGGGCUGAAGUAGGUCCCAAGGGUAUGGCUGUUCGCCAUUUAAAGUGGUACGCGAGCUGGGUUUAGAACGUCGUGAGACAGUUCGGUCCCUAUCUGCCGUGGGCGCUGGAGAACUGAGGGGGGCUGCUCCUAGUACGAGAGGACCGGAGUGGACGCAUCACUGGUGUUCGGGUUGUCAUGCCAAUGGCACUGCCCGGUAGCUAAAUGCGGAAGAGAUAAGUGCUGAAAGCAUCUAAGCACGAAACUUGCCCCGAGAUGAGUUCUCCCUGACUCCUUGAGAGUCCUGAAGGAACGUUGAAGACGACGACGUUGAUAGGCCGGGUGUGUAAGCGCAGCGAUGCGUUGAGCUAACCGGUACUAAUGAACCGUGAGG
Molecule: ribosomal RNA, 829 nt
Filed under: Escherichia coli
Lineage: Bacteria; Pseudomonadati; Pseudomonadota; Gammaproteobacteria; Enterobacterales; Enterobacteriaceae
Description: partial 23S ribosomal RNA
Rfam family: Bacterial large subunit ribosomal RNA
Source: RNAcentral